AACGAACGCUGGCGGCAUGCCUAAUACAUGCAAGUCGAACGAAGGCUUCGGCCUUAGUGGCGCACGGGUGCGUAACGCGUGGGAAUCUACCCUUGGGUUCGGAAUAACAGUUAGAAAUGACUGCUAAUACCGGAUGAUGACGUAAGUCCAAAGAUUUAUCGCCCAAGGAUGAGCCCGCGUAAGAUUAGCUAGUUGGUGAGGUAAAGGCUCACCAAGGCUACGAUCUUUAGCUGGUCUGAGAGGAUGAUCAGCCACACUGGGACUGAGACACGGCCCAGACUCCUACGGGAGGCAGCAGUAGGGAAUAUUGGACAAUGGGCGAAAGCCUGAUCCAGCAAUGCCGCGUGAGUGAUGAAGGCCUUAGGGUUGUAAAGCUCUUUUACCAGGGAUGAUAAUGACAGUACCUGGAGAAUAAGCUCCGGCUAACUCCGUG
This 433-nucleotide ribosomal RNA is filed under the name uncultured bacterium. RNAcentral's name for it is "bacterial SSU rRNA". It matches the Rfam family "Bacterial small subunit ribosomal RNA", at positions 29 to 507 of the family's 1533-position model. The record is from RNAcentral.